Molecule: ribosomal RNA, 1423 nt
Filed under: uncultured organism
Description: partial 16S ribosomal RNA
Rfam family: Bacterial small subunit ribosomal RNA
Source: RNAcentral
GAGUUUGAUCCUGGCUCAGAUUGAACGCUGGCGGCAGGCCUAACACAUGCAAGUCGAGCGGUAACAGAUCCAGCUUGCUGGAUGCUGACGAGCGGCGGACGGGUGAGUAAUGCAUAGGAAUCUGCCCGAUAGUGGGGGAUAACCUGGGGAAACCCAGGCUAAUACCGCAUACGUCCUACGGGAGAAAGGGGGCUCCGGCUCCCGCUAUGGGAUGAGCCUAUGUCGGAUUAGCUAGUUGGUGAGGUAACGGCUCACCAAGGCCACGAUCCGUAGCUGGUCUGAGAGGAUGAUCAGCCACAUCGGGACUGAGACACGGCCCGAACUCCUACGGGAGGCAGCAGUGGGGAAUAUUGGACAAUGGGGGAAACCCUGAUCCAGCCAUGCCGCGUGUGUGAAGAAGGCCCUCGGGUUGUAAAGCACUUUCAGCGAGGAAGAACGCCUAGCGGUUAAUACCCGCUAGGAAAGACAUCACUCGCAGAAGAAGCACCGGCUAACUCCGUGCCAGCAGCCGCGGUAAUACGGAGGGUGCAAGCGUUAAUCGGAAUUACUGGGCGUAAAGCGCGCGUAGGUGGCUUGAUAAGCCGGUUGUGAAAGCCCCGGGCUCAACCUGGGAACGGCAUCCGGAACUGUCAAGCUAGAGUGCAGGAGAGGAAGGUAGAAUUCCCGGUGUAGCGGUGAAAUGCGUAGAGAUCGGGAGGCCGUAAACGAUGUCGACCAGCCGUUGGGUGCCUAGCGCACUUUGUGGCGAAGUUAACGCGAUAAGUCGACCGCCUGGGGAGUACGGCCGCAAGGUUAAAACUCAAAUGAAUUGACGGGGGCCCGCACAAGCGGUGGAGCAUGUGGUUUAAUUCGAUGCAACGCGAAGAACCUUACCUACUCUUGACAUCCUGCGAAUUUGGUAGAGAUACCUUAGUGCCUUCGGGAGCGCAGAGACAGGUGCUGCAUGGCUGUCGUCAGCUCGUGUUGUGAAAUGUUGGGUUAAGUCCCGUAACGAGCGCAACCCUUGUCCUUAUUUGCCAGCGCGUAAUGGCGGGAACUCUAAGGAGACUGCCGGUGACAAACCGGAGGAAGGUGGGGACGACGUCAAGUCAUCAUGGCCCUUACGAGUAGGGCUACACACGUGCUACAAUGGUCGGUACAAAGGGUUGCCAACUCGCGAGAGUGAGCCAAUCCCGAAAAGCCGAUCUCAGUCCGGAUCGGAGUCUGCAACUCGACUCCGUGAAGUCGGAAUCGCUAGUAAUCGUGGAUCAGAAUGCCACGGUGAAUACGUUCCCGGGCCUUGUACACACCGCCCGUCACACCAUGGGAGUGGACUGCACCAGAAGUGGUUAGCCUAACGCAAGAGGGCGAUCACCACGGUGUGGUUCAUGACUGGGGUGAAGUCGUAACAAGGUAGCCGUAGGGGAACCUGCGGCUGGAUCAC